Molecule: long non-coding RNA, 1049 nt
Filed under: Homo sapiens (human)
Lineage: Eukaryota; Metazoa; Chordata; Mammalia; Primates; Hominidae
Description: non-protein coding lnc-ZCCHC24-11:1
Source: RNAcentral
GCUGCCAAAGAUGGGGCCUGCCGUCUCUGUGAUGUUACCAGCAGCACUCUGGCUGGGCUGGUCUGUCUUGCCUCUCAGGGAAGACACUAGCUCCAGGGAAGACUACUAGGUGCCGGGUGGUGAGGGGAAGACACCGGGCCCUGGGUGACAAAGGGAAGACGCCAGGUCCUGGAUAAUAAGCAGUAGUAAUAGGAAGAGAGGGUUCCCAAGACCACAAAGCUGAGACCCUGUUUCUGUUUGACAUAUAUUUCCGUUGUUAACUGACAUCCUUUUAGUUAAAAGCUAGAAAGCUUCUUUUGUUCUCAUGACAAGGUUGACAUAAGACUUAACUUUUGAUAUAAGCAAAGUCAUAAAAAGAAAAAGGGAAAUCAUGCAGCCUGGAGGGGAGGGAAAAAGUCAAAGGCAAAGACUGAGCCUAGUAACAGAGAUCCACUGAGAGCAGGGGAAGAGGCAGGUCAGGCCUUAGAUCCAGCCGGGGCCACAAUGGCACCUGCAAUCUUUGUGCCUCAGGUCAGAUUCUUGACUGGGGCAGGGGUAACAUGAUUGGUCACUGGCCAGCUAGUCCUUCGCGACACGUGUCCCUCCUGGUCUAAUGGGCUGGGGUCAAGGGGGGUUUGGUCAUGUGGGUCAAACAUGUCUGCCCUUCUGCAGCGGCAGAUGGCAGUUUCCAGGGAAGGAGGAUAAGGGUGCACAGGCAUUCCCAAAAGUCUAGAGUGGCAUUCCAGGAGGAGGGGCAGACAUUGGCAAAGAUAUGGGCAUGAGAACAGGGUAGUGUGUUAUGGUGGCCAAAGACAGCAUGUUCAGGGCUGGGGAUGGUGGCAGAUGGGUCCGGUCUUGGGAUCUGCAGACCAUGGGUAUUUCUGCUUUAGGCAGGGACUGGUCUCUCCAGCUAAUCUAGAGGUAUAGAACUUGGUGGUUAAGCUCCAGAGUCUCACGGGGCUGGGCUGCAUUUCAGUCCCGCCACUUAAACCAGCAUUUGGCCCUGGGUCAGAGGUCAGGGACUGGGGACCACUGAGGCAGAUGCAGCUCACACCUGGACUUUAUUUAGG